GACGAAGGGGGCUAGCGUUGUUCGGAAUUACUGGGCGUAAAGCGCGUGUAGGCGGUUGCCCAAGUCGGGUGUGAAAGCCUUGAGCUCAACUCAAGAAAUGCACUCGGUACUGGGUGACUAGAGGACCGGAGAGGAUAGUGGAAUUCCCAGUGUAGUGGUGAAAUACGUAGAGAUUGGGAAGAACACCAGUGGCGAAGGCGGCUAUCUGGACGGUUUCUGACGCUAAGACGCGAAGGCGUGGGGAGCAAACAGG
This 253-nucleotide ribosomal RNA is filed under the name uncultured bacterium. RNAcentral's name for it is "partial 16S ribosomal RNA". It matches the Rfam family "Bacterial small subunit ribosomal RNA", at positions 524 to 776 of the family's 1533-position model. The record is from RNAcentral.